This 117-nucleotide non-coding RNA is filed under the name Lotharella oceanica. The record is from RNAcentral. Lineage: Eukaryota; Cercozoa; Chlorarachniophyceae.
AUUGUGUUAAUUAUUUUUAUUUGUUCAUUCAUUUAGUUUCUAUAUAUUUAUCUACUUCCUCAUUUUGGAACCAGAUUGGAGAAAUAAGAAGAAAGGCAAGGGCUCGUGCAUCUGAAG